This 305-nucleotide ribosomal RNA is filed under the name uncultured bacterium. RNAcentral's name for it is "bacterial SSU rRNA". It matches the Rfam family "Bacterial small subunit ribosomal RNA", at positions 335 to 633 of the family's 1533-position model. The record is from RNAcentral.
UACCCUACGGGACGCAGCAGUAGGGAAUUUUCGUCAAUGGGCGCAAGCCUGAACGAGCAAUGCCGCGUGAACGAGGAAGGUCUUCGGAUCGUAAAGUUCUGUUGAAGGGGAAAAAGAGCGGAGAGAGGAAAUGAACUCCGAUUGAUAUUACCCUUCGAGGAAGUCACGGCUAACUACGUGCCAGCAGCCGCGGUAAUACGUAGGUGGCAAGCGUUAUCCGGAAUGAUUGGGCGUAAAGGGUGCGUAGGCGGCCUGCUAAGUCUGGUGUGAAAGGUACCGGCUCAACCGGUACAGGCUCUGGAAAA